Molecule: long non-coding RNA, 4183 nt
Organism: Calidris pugnax (ruff)
Lineage: Eukaryota; Metazoa; Chordata; Aves; Charadriiformes; Scolopacidae
Exons: 2
Source: RefSeq, a predicted model, not a curated record
UUAUCAGCUAUAAAUAAUGCAUUUUUUUCUGUAUGUUUAGAAUGCACGUGAUUUCUGUAUAUUAAAAAUGUACACGGUUGAAGGCACCAAAGCGAGCGCUGGCAAAUCAGGGGGGGUACCCGAUUUGGGUUUGACCAUGAGACGUUAAUUCAGCCUCCUCCUGGCCCUGCCCUUACGAGGCUGUAAUGACACGGUCACAGCCUAUUUUUAGCUCCCUCCUUCUUUCCCUGACCAGGGUGGCUGCACAGCGAGGUGGAAUUAAGGUUGCAGGGACAGCCAUAAAUUGGACACUUCCUAACUUUGAAGUGCUUGACCACGCAAUCUAAACGAGGGCUCUUCAGGGCAGCAUUUCUGCAUGUGGCAUUAACUGCCUUGGUCGGGGACGGCAAAUGCAGGGGUAGAGAAGCCGUAGAGCAGAAAAGACCUAUCAGACUAUUGAAAGCGCUCGUUUGAAUAGAUGGGGGAGUCAACAGAGUCUACACUUGAUCUGAGCUAAAUGGCCAAGAAGAUGUCUCCAAGCUGAGAGGGGGAAGCCUUUGUUCCUCCAGCCCCAGCCGUGAUGUUUUCUUUGCCUUUGGUUUUGCCUCCUCCGCUCCUAGGGAGGUUUGGGCUCUUGCUCUUGAGGAACCUUCAGCUUGUGUAGUGAAUUUGUGUGCUUGUGAAAGCGGGGGUGUCCCGAGGAGUGUGCACGUGCACGCACGCUCCCCUCACUGCACCAGCAGAUGUGUGCUACCAGCUUGCAGAUACUCACUGCUUGGUGUCCUUGCCUUGAACAUUCCCUCUUUGCCAGGUCCCUAACGGGAGCCGUUGCACGUGUUGGAGGGAAUGGAGAGGCCUUUGUGUAUCACACAGGAGAUCUAAUACCUUUUUUUAACUGCUGGAAGAAUUACUUCAGAGGUGGUUACAUGCAAUGCAGAUUUAUCUUUGCUUGAAAUGGUGCUUUUUUUCCUUUUUUCUUUGUUUACGGGGGGGUUUCUCCGUUUUGGCUUGCAAUAAGACAUUUGGCUGUCUAUGGUUUCUAGCAGAGUGCAGUCUGGUUGAGCAAAUUUGGGGGAGCAAGCAGUCUUUUGUUUUACUUUCCUGGGUGUAAUGUAGUCACAGCCCCUUGCACGUACCUUGUGCUGAUACCAGAGCAUUUUCCCCUGGCCAGCAGUGUGUCUACUCUGGAUUAUAAUAUAUGAUGUUGUGGUUUUGCCUUGUGGACUCCUGGAUCCCGAAACCUCCUUGGGGCUGUUUCCACGUCAGCACAGGUACCCAAGUGUCCUAGGUUUGGGUUUUCAUCGUGUUGGUAUGGGCUUGUGUUUCACGAGCAUCUUUCUCAUAACUUUCCCCCUCUCUCCUGCAUCUCAGUUCAGCAAAGGGCCUGUCUAUCUGGGUGCAGGCAAUAAACGUCUGUUCUCACCCUGACUUCUGUUAAUGAGAUAGAGACAGGUAAGCAUCACACAUACCAACUUUCCUGCUCUCAGCAACAUCAAGGAAACGGUGACAAGCUAUUAAUGGAAAGUGAUGGUCUGGGUGCUAAUUAGUGCUUCCUUUUCAACUUUUACCUACAUGUCUGCUGAGAUGCCCAUCCCAGCCUCUCCUCUCUCCUUGCAUCCCUUUGUUUCCAGCGCGUUCCUUGUUCUCUCUGCACAUCCCAUGUCGAAGAAGCUUCUCCAUUUUUUUCCUCUCUACCAAUCGCUUUCUGCAUCUCCUCAUUCCCUUUUUGUGCCCUUUUCCCCCGGGUAAUUGCCACCUGCACCCUCAUUCUCCUGUGGUUGCUCCCAGCCAAGAAUAAGCAGGAUAUUGUAGUGGGAUCUGAAAGCUCGGGGAUGGGGCACAUGAAGUCAGUCAGGAGUUCCUCGUCUUCAUCACUGGGUAGUAAUAUUCGCUUGUGACACCAGUGCACGGGGUCAAAUUUCCCUGGGGACAUGAGGUCAGAGAUCUGUCCCCUCUUCCCGCAGGUAAUGCUGUAGGGAGGCUCCCAGAAGCUCACAGGUCUUGGUCAUGGAACAAUUAGUAUUUAAAGCAGAUCCACUGAUAGUAGGAUGGGCCUCUGUGGUGUGAGCCUGGAGGAGAUAACAGGUCCUGCCCCACAGAGCUUGUGGUUUAAACCCUAAAUGCUUUUGCUCUCCAUGAAACCCCGCUAAUGGCUGUUUUUUCGGGUCCACCCCAAUUUAUGCUGCUGCAGCAACACGAUCCCUGGUCUCAGCUCAGUGCCUGGACUCUCCUGCUUCUCUUUCUCCUGGCCCCUGGGCUCUGCCCCUUCCCCAAGGACCCUAAUUGUCCCCUCCUCACUUUUUUUUUUGCACGGGUUGUGGGUUUCUUGCUGCCAGGCUUGUAUCCCAAGGAGCUGCCUAAUCUGCCCCUGUCAUUCCCAGUCACAGGCUCCGUGCACACCGUAGCUUUAUGGGGAAUGCUUGCAGGGCAGUGGGAAGAGGCAGCCAUGGUUUGCACAUUAGCUAAUUAAUUUUCAUGACUGAACGAUGCUGCCUGGUCUCUUGUUUAUACUCCUCGCCGCUCCCCUUCUCCCCCCUCCUCGCUGACACACACACAAGACGACACAUCUCGCACGAACGUCAGCAUCCUUCCACAGCCUUGAGACGCGAGCGGUUAUUCUGUUGGCUUGUCAAACGCGGGUUUCCCUGCUUCAUGGUACACAGGGGCCCCCUGUUUCACAUUUGCUGAUUCUUAUUAGACCCAGCGCGCCAGGGCCCUGUCUCUCCCCGCAAAGCAACGCGCCGCAUCCCAUCCAUAAAUCCAACCCUGGAACAAAGCCUCCUCUACCCUGCCCCAUAUUUCUACCCAGCCUGCCCGCUUUCCCCUCUCCCUCUCUCUCCCCCUCUCCCGUGCUGAAGGUUUCCUAGUGCCAGGGAGAUAUGAUAAUUCUUGUGAAGAGAGCAUGAAAUGCCUCUGCUCUUUGUGUCUGUUUAAUUCAAUGAGAAUCCCAGCCCCAGAUGUCAUGAAUGGUGGGCUUUGUGCUGGCCCUUCCUAAGCCCUAACCGCCAGCCCUGCUCUCUGUCUUUCUUGUUUCCCACCACUGGAUACUGAUUAACAAACUAAAUUAUUUUUCCUCCCUAAUGAUGUUUUCCCACUUUGCCCACCAGGCUGGAAGAAGCCACGGGGAGGAAAGAGUUUGUGCAAAGGAUGAGAUAGCCAGGGAGAAAAUUAAAGAGACAGUGUUGCUCUCUGGGCUCUGGCAAUGUAGGUCCGCUCGGCUUUAUUUCCUUAUUAGAGAACGGGGUCGCGUCUGGCUGUAUUUUACGGGGCUGGGUGUAUUUCAGCCGAGGGGACGGGCUUGAAAGCAUCCGCACAAGGUAGGCUCUGAAGCAUGCCAAGGUCCGUAACUCACUCGCAAUUGUGUGUGCGAGUUUGCACGGUCCCCAAAUUUAAGGUCUCUUUUUCCAGCCGUGACUGACAUUCAGUAAUUACUUGACAUCCGUCCAUGCAUACGGGAGCCUCUUUCUAAUUGAGACAAAUUCUCUUUUCCUUAAUCAGACAUGACUGCAAGUUCGCGCAAGUGGGAUGCCGUGGGAAGGGCUGGGACGACUCCACCUGAGCAAGGAGAGAUCCCAGCGAGCGGAGAAGGGACUCCUCAAGCCUCUGAGUUCCUUCUUGCAGUUGGCUACCACCUGCCCCAACUUGUCAUCUGAUGUCUCCAGGUUUCUCCAGGAGGGUCCCAUCCUGCUUCGCCGGUGGCCCCGCAGAGGAGGCGGCUUUGGCUCAUGAACACAGAGGGUUUCUGCAUCGCUUCGAGUCACCUCGGUCCAUCCAUGGGGAGGGAGCCGGGGCAGCCCAGGGAGCCAGGGGAUCACCCCACAUCACUCCUGUACGUUGUCUCCAGUGCCCUAAAUACCCCAGAGCAGGACCAUGGGGCUUGGGGAAGGGGAUCUGAGCGAGCCACUGUUCUCACCUGGCAAAACACCGGGUGCGUGACGGUGGGAGGGAGCUUUUAGGACCAGGCUUUGCUCAUGGAGCAGAGCUUGGCCCUGGGUGUGUGGAGCUGCAGGAGCGUGGCCGUCCCGACGGCGCCGUGCUCACAUCCCAGCCCCUGAGUCUGUCCGGACCAGGCGGCCCUGAUGCUGUUUGAUCCCCCCCUCGCCAUUCCUGUAAGAGAAACGUACCGCCUGUAAUUCUCUCUCAUUAAAAUUCCCCUUUGCCCCCGUGUGCUGUUGAAAAUAAACUCUCCCUUUUUUUGCAAAAG